GUCCUCAUAGUUAAACAGGAUAUAACUGCGGUUUCCUAAACUGCCAUUCCAAGUUCGAGUCUUGGUGAGGACACCA
Molecule: transfer RNA, 76 nt
Filed under: Bdellovibrionales bacterium
Lineage: Bacteria; Pseudomonadati; Bdellovibrionota; Bdellovibrionia; Bdellovibrionales
Description: tRNA-Arg
Rfam family: tRNA
About the family: Transfer RNA (tRNA) molecules are approximately 80 nucleotides in length. Their secondary structure includes four short double-helical elements and three loops (D, anti-codon, and T loops).
Source: RNAcentral